GACGAACGCUGGCGGCGUGCCUAAUACAUGCAAGUUGAGCGAUGAAGAUUGGUGCUUGCACCAAUUUGAAGAGCAGCGAACGGGUGAGUAACGCGUGGGGAAUCUGCCUUUGAGCGGGGGACAACAUUUGGAAACGAAUGCUAAUACCGCAUAACAACUUUAAACAUAAGUUUUAAGUUUGAAAGAUGCAAUUGCAUCACUCAAAGAUGAUCCCGCGUUGUAUUAGCUAGUUGGUGAGGUAAAGGCUCACCAAGGCGAUGAUACAUAGCCGACCUGAGAGGGUGAUCGGCCACAUUGGGACUGAGACACGGCCCAAACUCCUACGGGAGGCAGCAGUAGGGAAUCUUCGGCAAUGGACGAAAGUCUGACCGAGCAACGCCGCGUGAGUGAAGAAGGUUUUCUGAUCGUAAAACUCUGUUGGUAGAGAAGAACGUUGGUGAGAGUGGAAAGCUCAUCAAGUGACGGUAACUACCCAGAAAGGGACGGCUAACUACGUG
RNAcentral lists this ribosomal RNA (497 nucleotides) under uncultured bacterium. Its description in RNAcentral is "partial 16S ribosomal RNA". It matches the Rfam family "Bacterial small subunit ribosomal RNA", at positions 28 to 507 of the family's 1533-position model. The record is from RNAcentral.